UUCGGGAAACCGAAGCUAAUACCGGAUAGGAUCUUCUCCUUCAUGGGAGAUGAUUGAAAGAUGGUUUCGGCUAUCACUUACAGAUGGGCCCGCGGUGCMUUAGCUAGKUUGKGGRGKUAMCGSCUCACCAAGGCAACGAUGCAUAGCCGACCUGAGAGGGUGAUCGGCCACACUGGGACUGAGACACGGCCCAGACUCCUACGGGAGGCAGCAGUAGGGAAUCUUCCGCAAUGGACGAAAGUCUGACGGAGCAACGCCGCGUGAGUGAUGAAGGCUUUCGGGUCGUAAAACUCUGUUGUUAGGGAAGAACAAGUACAAGAGUAACUGCUUGUACCYUUGMCGGKRCCUAACCAGAAAGCCACGGSUUAACUACGKGCCAGCAGCCCGCGGUAAUACGUAGGUGG
This 404-nucleotide ribosomal RNA is filed under the name Priestia megaterium. RNAcentral's name for it is "Bacillus megaterium partial 16S ribosomal RNA". It matches the Rfam family "Bacterial small subunit ribosomal RNA", at positions 148 to 534 of the family's 1533-position model. Lineage: Bacteria; Bacillati; Bacillota; Bacilli; Caryophanales; Bacillaceae. The record is from RNAcentral.